Molecule: small RNA, 22 nt
Filed under: Arabidopsis thaliana (thale cress)
Lineage: Eukaryota; Viridiplantae; Streptophyta; Magnoliopsida; Brassicales; Brassicaceae
Description: AGO1_2524
Source: RNAcentral
UCAAUGCAUUGAAAGUGACUAC